AUACGUAGGGGGCGAGCGUUGUCCGGAAUUACUGGGCGUAAAGGGUGCGUAGGUGGCCUUUUAAGUUGGAUGUGAAAUACCCGGGCUUAACCUGGGGGGUGCAUCUAAUACUGGGAGGCUAGAGUGCAGGAGAGGGAAGCGGAAUUCCUAGUGUAGCGGUGAAAUGCGUAGAUAUUAGGAGGAACACCAGUGGCGAAGGCGGCUUUCUGGACUGUAACUGACACUGAGGCACGAAAGCGUGGGGAGCAAACAGGAUUAGAUACCCUGGUAGUCCACGCGGUAAACGAUGAAUACUAGGUGUAGGGGGUAUCAACUCCCCCUGUGCCGGAGCAAACGCAAUAAGUAUUCCGCCUGGGGAGUACGGCCGCAAGGUUGAA
This 377-nucleotide ribosomal RNA is filed under the name uncultured bacterium. RNAcentral describes it as "bacterial SSU rRNA". It matches the Rfam family "Bacterial small subunit ribosomal RNA", at positions 523 to 898 of the family's 1533-position model. The record is from RNAcentral.